AUUCCAGCUCCAAUAGCGUAUAUUUAAGUUGUUGCAGUUAAAAAGCUCGUAGUUGGAUUUCGGGCCCAGGUGACCGGUCCGCCGUUUCGGUGUGCACUGGUUAGCUCGGUCUUUCUGCCGGGGACACGCUCCGUCUUAAUUGCCGGACGUGGAGUCGGCGAUGUUACUUUGAAAAAAUUAGAGUGUUCAAAGCAGGCUUACGCUCUGAAUACUAUAGCAUGGAAUAACACGAUAGGACUCCGAGCCUAUUUUGUUGGUCUUCGGGACCGGAGUAAUGAUUAAGAGGGACAGUUGGGGGCAUUCGUAUUACGGUGUCAGAGGUGAAAUUCUUGGAUUUCCGUAAGACGAACUUCUGCGAAAGCAUUUGCCAAGGAUGUUUUCAUCA
RNAcentral lists this ribosomal RNA (385 nucleotides) under prasinophyte sp. Its description in RNAcentral is "partial small subunit ribosomal RNA". It matches the Rfam family "Eukaryotic small subunit ribosomal RNA", at positions 582 to 975 of the family's 1831-position model. The record is from RNAcentral. Lineage: Eukaryota; Viridiplantae; Chlorophyta.